Molecule: ribosomal RNA, 548 nt
Filed under: uncultured bacterium
Lineage: Bacteria
Description: bacterial SSU rRNA
Rfam family: Bacterial small subunit ribosomal RNA
Source: RNAcentral
GGGGAAUUUUGGACAAUGGGCGCAAGCCUGAUCCAGCCAUGCCGCGUGUCUGAAGAAGGCCUUCGGGUUGUAAAGGACUUUUGUCAGGGAAGAAAAGGGCGGGGUUAAUACCCCUGUCUGAUGACGGUACCUGAAGAAUAAGCACCGGCUAACUACGUGCCAGCAGCCGCGGUAAUACGUAGGGUGCGAGCGUUAAUCGGAAUUACUGGGCGUAAAGCGGGCGCAGACGGUUACUUAAGCAGGAUGUGAAAUCCCCGGGCUCAACCUGGGAACUGCGUUCUGAACUGGGUGACUAGAGUGUGUCAGAGGGAGGUAGAAUUCCACGUGUAGCAGUGAAAUGCGUAGAGAUGUGGAGGAAUACCGAUGGCGAAGGCAGCCUCCUGGAAUAACACUGACGUUCAUGCCCGAAAGCGUGGGUAGCAAACAGGAUUAGAUACCCUGGUAGUCCACGCCCUAAACGAUGUCGAUUAGCUGUUGGGCAGCAUGACUGCUUAGUAGCGAAGCUAACGCGUGAAAUCGACCGCCUGGGGAGUACGGUCGCAAGAUUA